RNAcentral lists this long non-coding RNA (273 nucleotides) under Zostera marina. RNAcentral's name for it is "long non-coding RNA (ZMAR_LNC000163)". The record is from RNAcentral. Lineage: Eukaryota; Viridiplantae; Streptophyta; Magnoliopsida; Alismatales; Zosteraceae.
AGAAGCGAGGUCCAGCAAGAUGAAUAGAAGAAAGCCCAAGUCAUUCCGAGGACACUGGCCCGUUCAGAUCGUCCGGGCGGCCCCAUCAGCCCCACGAACAUUCGGCCGACCAGGCCGGCUGGAAAGACCCGUCAGCCCGAGCAGUUAACAUCCCAAAGAUGGCGUCCCAAGUAUGUCGGAUCCAUCAUGUCGGACCCUAAUCCGAAAGCAUAGGACCCAGAGUCCGAUAGGAAAUUGUAUAAAUACCCCUAGGGGUGAAGUGUAAAAAGGGGG